CCCUUAGAUGUCCUGGGCCGCACGCGCGCUACACUGACGGAGCCAGCGAGCUUACCCCUUUGCCGAAAGGCAUGGGAAAUCUUUUGAAUCUCCGUCGUGCUGGGGAUAGAUCAUUGCAAUUAUUGAUCUUGAACGAGGAAUUCCUAGUAAGCGCAAGUCAUCAACUUGCGUUGAUUACGUCCCUGCCCUUUGUACACACCGCCCGUCGCUCCUACCGAUUGGGUGAGCCGAUGAAACUCUCGGAUGUAGGCUAUUCAUAGCCCGCAGAAGAGAUUUGAAUCGUAGCGCUUAGAGGAAGGAGAAGUCGUAACA
Molecule: ribosomal RNA, 312 nt
Filed under: uncultured eukaryote
Lineage: Eukaryota
Description: partial 18S ribosomal RNA
Rfam family: Eukaryotic small subunit ribosomal RNA
Source: RNAcentral